GUCUGCUGAAGGCUUGCAACUCCCAGAGGAAGCCUUGGACGGUCAAUUGAGAUUAAUGUCAGUCAGUUCCAGCUCUUAGCACAGGAGCCGCUACCCAGGCCCCUACCCCCGGCCACGUGGAGGCAACUGUGUGCGUGUUCCUGCAGCGGCUCGCACAGAAACACGACACGAGACAGCAAACCCCACGGAGGGGAGGAUCUGAUUUCCAGAGUUACCACCUCGUUAGCUUCAAGGGUCCAGAUUUCAACUAAAAAUCACAAGGCACACAAAGAAACAGGAAAUAUGGCCUGUUGCAAGGAAAAGCUAACUCAACAGAGCUGUCCCUGAAAACGGCCGGAUGGCAGACCUACCAGACCAAGACUUUAAACACCUGCCUUAAACGAGCUCACAGAACUCAGGAAGAUGUGGAACCGUCUUCACGAUAUUGUUUCCCCAAGUGCACAGUCCAUUCUAAAUACCAAUCCACGUGGUAUACAGUCGUUCAUCUGAUAGAAAUUUGUUGAACAUCUGUCUCAAGAAAUGCUACUUUCUUUACUCAGAAUAAAAUGUGACGUUUCUGGAGGCCAGGAGGCUGCAGGUUCGGUUACUCAGACUCCGACCCUGCGAUGCGCAUCCCUGGUUCCUUUGCUGAGUCCACUCCCGCCUUUCUGCCGGCGUGAGGAGGUCCUUGCUCUCCACCACGCCUUCACCAGGCCUGAGUCGAGCCCGGUGGUUCUCAGUCUGCACGUCCCUUGGGCUGUGCUUGCCAACCUCGCAGGGAGUUUGAACCUGGGCUGGACGUGGGCGUGAGCAUUCCUGAGGCUCCACGUGUUUCUGACAUGCAGCAGCGCUUGAGGACACCUGGGACGCCCACCCUCUGACUCCCUGCAGUGGCAGUGGACGCGAGGGGGACGUUGGCAGAGUUUGUCUUGAAGGUUGGGGAUGACAAACGAGAUAAAUUCAGAGCGCCUCCUUAUUCCACACCCACUCCCCUUUGUAGAAUCGUUUCUUGGGAGUUUUCCUGUGAGGAAAAAAACUUUAAUAGUCAAUUAAGAAUAGAAAACACCGCAUACUAGAUAAAAUCAGUAGUAAAGAGCCCUUCAGAUUUCCUUUAUGGAGUGUUUCCAAACUUAAUAGUAAAUUAGUGAUAUGGUAAUAGAUGUGGU
RNAcentral lists this long non-coding RNA (1145 nucleotides) under Equus caballus (horse). Its description in RNAcentral is "lncRNA (ENSECAG00000056948.1)". Lineage: Eukaryota; Metazoa; Chordata; Mammalia; Perissodactyla; Equidae. The record is from RNAcentral.